Gallus gallus (chicken) is the source of this 8059-nucleotide long non-coding RNA. NCBI's taxonomy places the organism in Eukaryota, Metazoa, Chordata, Aves, Galliformes, Phasianidae. The record is from Ensembl.
GGCACAGACAUGGUUGCACAAGGCUGUGGCAGAUUUGCAGUUGUAUGGGAUGAGCAGACCACCAGUGGGAGGAGCAACACUGAGCAUUGGAGCUGCAACCGGACUGGAAAAUGGAGAGGGACAGAGCCAUGGGUGAAGAGACAAAGACAGUGAUGGGUGAAUCAAUGGAUGGUUUAGUGGCCUUAGUGGGGCAGCAGUUCUGACCAGGGAGAGCUGCUGUACAUAGAAUCAUAGAAUGGUUUAGAUUGUAAGAGACCUUAAAGAUCAUUUAGUUAUGCUCUCUCCCGUGGGCUGGCUGCCCCCCAUCAGAUCAGGCUGCCCAGGGCCCAUCCAUGGCGUUGGGCACUUCCAGGGAUAGAGCACCCACACUUCUCUGCGCAGUCUGUGCCAUGUCCUCACAACACAUCCCCUUGCUCUGGUAAUGAGGCCAUUGACUCCAGUUUCACCUGGAAGCCAUAUCCUGCUGUUGGUCACAUGGAGAAACCUCCUGUGCCUCCCCACAUGGCCCAGUGCUUCUGUUCCUCCGCUGAGCAGCCACUUCUGCCCCAUCCCUGGAGGUACCUAUGGCACCCUGAUCUAGUGGUUGGCAACCCCGCCCACGGCAUGGGGCUUGGAGCCUUAUAAUCUCUGAGGUCCCUUCCAACUCAAGCCAUUCUACGAUCCUCUGAUUCUUCCCUCCCCUGCAAGAAGCUCCAGAUCCCACAUACCCUGCUUGGCAUCCCAAACGUGCCAAACUGGCAGGAGCAAAAGCAACUUCUUAUUUUUCUUUUCUGUCCUCAUUCGACUCUGGCCCACGGCCAGUCGCUAUCUUCAUUUAUUGUAAUGAAUUUGUGCCAUUAAUAUGUUGGCUGUGCGGAGCAAUCGCAAAGUAGUACAUUAGGACAAAAGCUAUUGCUCUGGAUGCCAGCGCUUUAUUGCUGCUGCUGAUUUACGGGCUGAUAAGCAACGCCGCGCGUCCUUGAGAUGGGAAAAGGACAGGUAGUGUGGCAGGGACCCGCAUUGUGGCAGGGUGUGGGAUUUCCCAGGCCUCGCACAGCUGGGGGUGGACUUGACGAUUCCAUCUUUUCUCUGGAAAACGUCUUCGCCUGAGUGUGAGCCCGGAGGAACGCCGCAGACAAAGCCAGUGUGAAAGUCCCAGGCGCUUGGAAAGGAGAUUAAAUGCCGUCACAAUACUGUAGGUUUGGGAGCUUCUGUGUGAGCAGCUCAUAAUAGAGCCAUGUCAUCACUUUAUUGCAAAGAUACGAUAAAGACAGGCAUUAUACGGUGUUAACAUUUAACAGCCAUAACUUAACUUUCAAAAGACUUCGCAGACCAAGUCACAGUGAAUUGUUUCUUUCUCCGCGUUUAAUCCCGGGCUCACAUGCUAUAGAGCAAGAGCAUUUACAGCCAGCGCUAAGCACAGACAGCCAGACCUGUCUGCCUGUCAGCUCCGCGAGUAAUCCCCUGAAGAGCAGCCGUACAUAGAGUGAUUUAAAGGGAAAGCAUGGAACAAGGGGAGCACAGACAACACAGAAACCACUGUCAGAAAGAGAUGCCAAGCAGCCCUGUCCCGGGGCUGAUCCUGUGCCCAGCAGUGCCAGUCUCCCUGCAGUGCUUAUGGCUACAGGAUACGACCCGGAGUUGCCAAGUUAUAGGAAGAACUCAAGCACCCGGAGUUUAUAAAAGUGGGAUGACGUGGGAGACGGCCUCUCGAGUCAAAAAGCGACUGCUGUGGAGCUGGGAGGAAAAUCCCCAUGGCUGGAGCAGGGGGAGAGCAUCACGGCUGUGACCCCAGAGCUGGGGUCAGCCCCCGCGCAGGGACAUCCCCCUGGGAAAUGGAGCGGGCAGUGCGGGGCACGGUCACUCCCCCUCUUAAUGAGCCCUGUCAGCUUGCCUUGCAUUUUAGCUAAUUAAUUACUCCACUUCGGAGCUGCGCUUUGAGUUGACACCAGCACCACAGGAAGGAACGGGGGUUGAUUUCAAUCCCCUCUCUGUUUGUUUGCUCUCACAGUCCGGAUCCACACAACAGGAAACGUUGGGUGAGUGCUCAGGGAAAAUAGUCAGCAACGCUAUCUGAGAGCCAUAUCAAAGAGAUUUGGGCCAGAAGUGGACCCAGCUACUGUGAAGCUAUUAGCAGCAUCUCAGGCUUCCUGUGUACAGCGGGUUAGGGGGCGAGCACUGCCCACAUGUUUGCUUGCUGGAAUAGUCACCAGCACUGCCAUGAACUCACAGCCCUGAACAGACCUUCCGAAAGUAGUUCAGAGUGGAAGCAGCAGGAAGGAGGGAUUUUCUGGCCUGGAAUAUUUUCGCCCUUUAAGGGCUACAGUGCAAGAUCUUCCUUGAGUGGGUCUGUUGCUGGCAUGCUGGGAGCAAGCAUGCACCAACGCAUGCAAGAUGGCAAGAUGGGUGAGCGAGGCUGUGCAGAUAGCCUGACCUCACUCAGGGCAGCAACACCAGGACAACAGCAUUGGGAUCAUCACUGGGAAAGCUCAGAAAGCUCCAGCGGAGUGAUGUAUAAGGAAAAGCUGCAGUGCGGGGCAAAUUGUAUCUCCCAGCACCUGGAGCCUGCAGCCUCACUAUGAGGAGGAGGAGGAGGAGGAGGCAGUGAACCCAUCCCAUGGCAAGGCAAUGGGUGAAGUGGGCAUCUGCCUAAAUCCCAUCUGGCCACACACCUCAGAGCUGGAACAUGCAAGAUUUUGUUGAUGGGACCAAUAAUCAGAGCACAGUGUAAUCAGCCCCCUGGGAUGUCUGAGGCAAGCAGAAACUACUGGCUUCUUUCACAAAGCACAAAGCUGAUGUCUGAGUCGGCACGUUUGAUAACAAACGUGGUUUCUCAGAGCCCCUUUGUUAUCAGGUUGUGCUGAGGAGGAGCACACCAGGACACGAUGAUGCUGACAUCCAGAUGAGCACAGAAAUGAUAACAAAGCCCAGCAGGACAGUUUGUUCACUUCUCCCUCCAGCAAGGGCAUUGCUGGUGGUCUUAUCUCUUGCAAAGCACAAACCAGAGCAGCCAGGAGCCUUGCAUAGUUUUCCUGGGCUCCCUGCUGGAAGCACCCCAUGAAUGAGGUGCCCAACCCCAGGGCAUCAGGCCUGCAAGCAUCCCACCCUGAUGGUUGGGAGAAACUGCAGGAGUGGCAGCAAGGACAUUGGGAAGGGAAGUUGGUGAUACAGCAUUUGGGACUGCAGACUUUCAGAAUGCCCAGACCCAAGCUUGAAGUGUGAGGGACUCACAACUCCAUAUCAUGGGUAACCAGAGACCUGGAAGAACAAACCCAGAGAUGGUGCCAUACCCCAAAAUGAUCCCUUCCAAACCUGAGUGACAGACAUCCUCUCUUAUAGGGCCACCCAACUGGGAUAUCACCAUCCUUCCCAGGGCGUUCAUUCCAUCACAAACAGCUUUCAGGCUCUGGUCAUCAGGCAGAUUGUCCAGCUUUGGCAAUUCCAAGCCAUGUUCACAAGACACGGGCUAAUUUCUGAUAAAUUCUCACCAACUGAAUCCAGCUCUGCUAGAUCCUGUUACAAUGAGAGGGGAGAAGAGAUGGCAGUUGGACCACUUGCUGUUGAGGUCUUGGAUGUUGCAAAAGACUUUAUUCUGUCCUAUCUCCGGCCCAGACUGUUUUGCUGAGAUCUCAUCCCAUCCCUUCUCCUCCCUGCACAGAUAUACUCCAGCCAGGCUCCAUUUCAAAUCUCUCCUGGGUUGCUGGUUUCAAAGCUUUCCAAAGAGUAUCAUCAUCCAGGAGACAGAUGUCUAGGACUACUGGGCUUCCUUGGGGGAAAGCAGCACUGAGGAUGGUUUUGUGGUAGCAUCUUUGCACCAAGCCCUGCUUAAAAUGUAGACAGUGAGCUGGAAGCAGCAAAGAAAUGUUUAUGGAAUUGCUUUCACGGGCACUGUGCAUGUGGUGAUAGGUUUAUAAAUUAGGUCAUACCAUUUCCUGAAAUGUAUGUGCAACGUUCUGGAUAUUUAAUGGCAUAAAGACGUAAUUAGCUGCAGCUUUGGAAAACAGCGUCACCUUGAUUUGAAGGAAACUGUUAAAUAAGAUUGGGUUACCAUGCUGAGCAACCCAUUGCAAAGAUACAAUCUGAGGAGGGAACCUGACCCUGCCAGGAUUUCCUCUGCAGUGUGUUUGCAUUGUAUAUGCAUCUAAUCUGGAGCAAAUAUCUACAUUUCUCUGUACCCCAUUCAGACCUAAAGGAAAAAAAAAGUAAGCUGAGUAGCUUCACUGAAUGCUAAAAUAGAAGAAAUUUGUUGCAGGAAGGAAAUUUUAAGGUUAUGAUCUGCAUGGUCCCAGGUGCAUUUUUAAAGCAUCUGAAAUGUUAGAAGUCUCCUAUGUCCUCCAAGAACCUUGAGAAGAGAGAGAAAAUGCUGCAUAGCAAAGGUCUUUAGGAAGAUGGAAUGUGAAAACAGAUUAAAUAUAAGAUUUGGGAUCCCAAUGACCCCUACGUGUUUUUCAGUCAACAGCAAAAUACCGUGAGAGACUUCAGUCUCCUUCAUGUAACCAGCAAACCCCGAGGUAUCCUGAGACACCAAACCACUCUGGGUCUUCUAAACUACCCAACCACUUGUCCCCUUAUCUUUUGACCAACAAGGCUUAGUUUUCAGAGGAAGUGAAUGAGAUAUUUUAACAGGGUAAGCCAAGGCUGGUGGGAGAUGCAGAAUAGAUGCCCAUAUCCUGAGGUCACAUCCCCGUGCUGAAGGUAUGGCUACACACCAUACAGAAGUGUUUUGAGACCUCCAAAAUCAGCAGAAUUGCUAAGUGACAGGGCACCUAGAGCAGACAACUCACUGCAUUGACUGCUGACAAUGAGCUGACAGUGACACUUCCAGCAAAUAAUAAAUGGCUGAGAAAGAGGAAUUUGAAAUGCAAUGCCACUGAUGAGCCAAUGAGCAUGGGCACCUGGAGGGCACGGUCUCUUCUCCAUUUAGGAAUCACAGCUUUGCUUUUGGGCCCUCUUGACCCAAAAAGAAAACCCCAAUUAUGUACUAAUACAGAAACUGAGCAGUCUACUCUGUAGAGAAAUGUGUUGACAAAAAAUAUUGCUUUCAAAAGAAAUGUUCUUUAUUUUUUCAAGAGAGAAGGAAACCAGAUAAUUUUUCAGGGCCAGGAGAAGAAAACAAAAACAAAAACAAAAACACAAUAACAACAUCAGAAUAUCUUUGUUUUGUAAUGCUUGAAAAUAACUCUCAGGAGUCAAGGAGAAUGGUGAUAAAAAUGAGAAAUGUUGAAAAUGGGAAGAAGGGAAGGAAUGAGAGGGCGGGGUGCAGGCUUGUAGGAGGAGCUGCAAUUACUUGACAGAAAAACAGGGGUCUGCUGAAUCUGUAGGGUGUUUCAUUUACAGUCCUUUGGUCUGGAGAAGCACUGAACUUACACUGAACCCCAUCCCCGAGGUGAAACCUUCCCUCUCCCACCUAUGCAGCUCAGGCUCCCAAGAAGCACUGUUUCAUUCCCCCUCUCUCCCCUCCAUCCAUCUCAAUAUCCAUGUUCCCAAGUUGCCUGAUGUGCCGUUUAUGACAGAAAUAACCUGCCUUGGCACUGACACUUGAAUUUCACUUAAGGUUCGUCGCGUUAUUAAUGACAAGAUCAAUAUUGCCAAAGCCGCAGUAAGAGCUCUCGCCAUCCAUCUGCCUCCCACCCUCCCCUCCGAGGCGCUCCAUGUUUUAAUGCUCCAUCUUCUUUCAAGGGUAUGGGCUCAGCAUGGGAAGGAGAAUCUCCCGCUGCCGGGGACGCGGUGCUCAGUCCUUGGCAGCUGCCCCAAUGUAUUUCUCCCGAGCCUUGAAUGCUGAGUGAUGAGGUUUGGGAGAGGGAUAACCCACAGGCUCUGUCUAAUCAGAGAGACUGUGGUGGCCUUGCUGAACCCUCCCGGCACAAUUAGGUAAUCACGUUGGCAGACAAGCCUGAUUCAUGUCGCUUUACCAUCAGCAAAGGGAUAUCUAUCACCCCUGCGACAGACCCGUUAUUGCCGCAAACCACUUCAGCCCAACCGGUUAAAAACCCCUUGUAAAAGCAAAAUAAAAAAAGGGGCUUGGACAUAUUUUAUGGCAAAUUAACUUCUAACGUAUUCUUUCCUGCCUCGUAUUAAGAUCCCACUCUCAGCUGACACCUGCAGCAAGGCCUGUGUUCCUCAUGGCAUGUAAGGGCUCAAGAUCUCUGCAGACACUGUGGGACAUUCAGGACAAUGCUGAUUUGCUCUCACUUCUCUCCAUUGGCUCCAGAGGAACCCAAGCUUUCCAGGAAUGCCAAGGCAAAGGCACCCAAACUCAACCUGAAGCACCCAGCCUGCUGAUACCAAGCUUCUUUAGCUCUGUUCCCACUGGACCACCUAUGGAUGUCGAUGAAGACAACAAGGAGACUUAAUGGAUUCAAACAAGCUUUGGAUGAAUCCUUCAAAGCACCCUGGAAAUUCAGCUGUUUCCCCAGUUCUACUCUGCACAGAUCCACAGGUGGACCAGGAAUGGAUGGAGGAAUUAUAUUAGCCCCAAUGUGCAGUGCAGCACCCCUGCUCCUCAUCCAACAGAUCCUGAAGGGCCGUCCCCAAAUCUGUGGUUUUAUUGCUCUACUGGAAUUGUGCUCUGGACCUGAAGACUUCCAGGCAAAGCACAGAGCUUUUCCAUAGGCUCCAGAGGGCUCCUCAGGGCUGAGCCAUUCCCAGAACCGCCCGUCCCUGACCUCAGACAAGGCUCCAAUUAGGACUUUCAGUUAUUUUUCUUUGAAACAAACACAGGGCAAUGGGGAAAAGCAUCCUUAUCAUCUGGGGAUAUUCACAUUUUUACUACAUUUUCUUUCAGUUCUGAUUUUUUUUUUCCCCAGAACCAGUUAAUCCAUUUCUUUUGGACUUGUACCUUCAAGGCAAGAGCUGCAGCUCAACGUGCGGCCAAGCCAUUCCAGAAAAAUGCCUUCACUACAGAACAUGAACUUCCCAUUAUAGAGGCUGCAUAUGUGCUCUGAUUGAUCCCUAAACUGGCAUUUCAAUUUAUUUCCCACUGGAGGACUCAUUCAUUACAGAGAAAUAAGACUAUUAAAUGCAUGAUAAAGCACAUGCAUCAACAGACGAGAAUGGUGGUUACUUUACUGUACCUAUCUAAACAAUAGCUGAUAAAUAAAGCCAUUCAUGAUCACAUAGGACCUUUUAAAAUGAAUAAGGAAACAGUAAUAUGCUCAUUAUUAAAGCAGCUGAUUAAAAAAAAUAGCUUGCCAGCAUUAACACCACACACACUUUGCUGCUGCAUCCCUGGCUGUGGGACGGAGGCAGCUCGAAGGCACAGAUUGCGAGCAACCUGCCUGCAACCUGCCCAAGUCCCAGCAGCCUGCAGAUGUGUGCAGCUGUGCUGAUGUGGCAGCAGGCUCUUACCUCCAGCAGCAGGGAAAGAUGCCCAAAGGAGCCCAUGCAAGCUGCUUUUUUCAAGCUUCCAUCGCUUUUUCUUUAACUACUGCAUUGACUUUCUACCCAACAGCCUCUGGAGAGAAGCAGAAUAGUGGGGCAGGUGUAGAAUUCUUUAUACAUAUCAUAGAACCACAGAAUGGCUUAGGUUGGAAGGGACCUUAAAGAUCAUCGAGCUCCAACCCCAUGCAUAUGUACGUAUGCAUAUGGUUGGUUUCUUUCUUUUUUUUUUUUACCUGUCAAAAGAGGAAAGAUAGAGAUGGCAAAGAAAGACAAGACAUGGAGAAAGGAAAAUGAAGAGGAAAGGAGAAGUGGAUCUUUAUGAAAAUGAGGAGAUAGGUGUCCAUAAAGGCUCUGAAGCGGGACAUAAGAGCAGUGGCUUUGAAGUUUCUUUGCAAAUCAAACCAGGCUGGUCCUUUCUCUGCCCAUUUUUGAGGACACUGAACAGUCCCACCACUGCUACAACAACCCCAUAAAAAUUUACUGUCAGCUUUUUUUCUCUGUCCUUUUCCCCCACUUCGACCACAUCCUUAGACCUCCAAGAAGCCAAUGCCAGGCUAAGUAGUUGUGACAUAACUCAGCAGGUUUUCCUGAGCUCUAAUUGAAUUAUAAGCCAUCACUUUAUGGCCGCAUGUAAAAAUCCCACAUGUUCCUUGCACAGCAUAGUCAGUUCUUGGACCCAGUGGUGUGGCACUGGGCUGUG